Long non-coding RNA from Homo sapiens (human), 1995 nucleotides. Ensembl annotates it as long intergenic non-protein coding RNA 293. The record is from Ensembl. NCBI's taxonomy places the organism in Eukaryota, Metazoa, Chordata, Mammalia, Primates, Hominidae.
ACAUAGGUGAUGUAACUUUCUUGCCUUCUCUCUGGCUGCAGGUGGUAUUGCUCCAUAUGCCUGAGACCCUAACAAAAGCCUAAUUACAACUCAUAUGCCUGGAGCCAGGACAUGUGCAGGAUGACUCUGCCAAGAGAGGGGAUUAUUACAUAUUGCAGAGCCCAGCACCUAGGUGGAGUGACUCUCAUCUUUUUCUUCUACCCCGUAUAUAGCCAGCUUGGUGACCUACUAUUUGAGUCUAUACCCAGGCCCAGACCACAGAUGAAAUUGUGCAAUAUGUGGAACAAACACCUAAACAAUAUAUAACACCUUCCUUGGCUCUGUCUACAAAGGGCACUUUUAUAUAUCACUGGGACCAUCAACCAGGUGAUGUUAAUUAUCUUCCUGAAACCUGUCUACAAAGAGAGUUGUGUCGUAUACCUAGGCCCGUCAUGUGAUGUUGUGCCAUAUAACUGAGACCGUAUCAAAAGCCUAAUAACAAGACGUAUGUCUGGAGCCCCGAUAUGCACAGGAUGGUGAUAUAACCCUCUUCUCUGGAAUGGGCCCCACACAAAGGAAGGAUAGUGACAUAUUGCAAGCCCAGGCACACAGGCCCAGAGCACAGUUGAAAUUGUGACAUAUGUACACCAAGCAACCAAGCAAUGUAUAACACCUCAUUUGGCAAUGGAAUCGAGGGCACUUUUACAUAUCACUGAGACCAGCGCCCAGCUGAUGUGAAAUAUUGGCCUGAACCCUGCCUACAAAAGCAUUGUGGCUUUUAUCUAGCUCCAUUACAUAAGUGAUGUGACUUCCUUCUACUGCCUUGGCCCUGCACUUAUGGUGAAUCGUGACACAAAAUUGGGUAGAGCAACCAGCCUGGGCCCUGACCAGCACAGAGAUUGAGGCAUAUUGCUGAACCCAGGACCAAGAUGAAGUCACUCUCCUGCCUUGAUCCUGCACACAGGGACCCUUGUGACAUAUAUACAGGCCAAUUGCCUAGGUGAUGUUGUGCAAUAUACCUGAGACCAGAUCAAUGGCCUAAUAAUGACUCUUUUACCUAGAGCCAGGACAUGUGCAGGAUGGUAACUCUCAUCCCUGAACCUUUCCACAGGUGUUAUUGUCACAUAUACCUUUUCCAGCUCCAAAGUGAUUUAAUAAUCCAGCCUAGUUAUAGCCCACAGAUAAUAUUUGGACAUAUACCUGAGUCAAGAACCUUGGUGAUUUGACUCUCAUGUCUUAACAGUGUCCUCAGAAGGGAUCAUAACAUAUCUCUGGACCCAUCAUCUAGGUUAUGUGACUCUCUUCUCCUGCCUGAACCCUGCUUCCAGUGAAGAGUGUUGCAUUUCUAAGCACUGCAUCCAAAUGACAUGAGUUUCUUGCCUGGGCCGUUUCAACAGAAGGCAUUGUGACAUAUCUCUAGGUCUAUCAUUUAGGUGAUAUGACUCUCCUCUCCUGCCUGGACACUCUCCACAAGGGGCAUUAUGCCAUAGAGCUAGAGCUAGCAACCAAGUUUUGUGAAUUUUCUGUUAGGGCCUUGCCUACAAAGAGAAUUUUGGAAUAUUUCUGGCUUAGAAUUUAAGUAAUGUGGUUGUUCUGCCUGUUCAGUAACCACAGAGGAGAAGGUGAAAUAUAUCUAGGCACCGCAAACAGGCAUGAUAAUGAGUCUUGUAUGUGGACCCAGCAAAUAGGAGAAAUUUUGACUCUUAUAACUAGGUUUAGGAACAUGAGUGAUGUCCAGGAUCUCCUUCUGGUAAGAAGGUCACAGAAGAUUGCAACACUCACAAUUAUUUUGUAACACCUUUGGGUUGUAUAGGGAGUGUCGUAACAGGGCCAAACACACAGAGGAAAUUGUGACAGUCAUAUGCACACCUACCUGACAGUAAAGACUUUCACAAUCACAAAUGGAUGAAGGCAACUGUCCUACAUGAAAACAGGACAUGUGUGGUAUUGUACAUCUAAAACCUAGAAUUUUAUUCCAUUGUGACUGUGAUAUAAAUCAAUGCCAAGCACCUGCGU